AUUGAACGCUGGCGGCAUGCUUUACACAUGCAAGUCGAACGGCAGCACGGGUGCUUGCACCUGGUGGCGAGUGGCGGACGGGUGAGUAAUGCAUCGGAACGUGUCCUAAAGUGGGGGAUAACGCAUCGAAAGAUGUGCUAAUACCGCAUAUUCUCUGAGGAGGAAAGUAGGGGAUCGAAAGACCUUAUGCUUUUGGAGCGGCCGAUGUCUGAUUAGCUAGUUGGUAAGGUAAUGGCUUACCAAGGCGACGAUCAGUAGUUGGUCUGAGAGGACGACCAGCCACACUGGGACUGAGACACGGCCCAGACUCCUACGGGAGGCAGCAGUGGGGGAAUUUUGGACAAUGGGCGCAAGCCUGAUCCAGCAAUGCCGCGUGAGUGAAGAAGGCCUCGGUGUAAGCUCUUCAGUUGAAGAAAAGUACGU
RNAcentral lists this ribosomal RNA (423 nucleotides) under uncultured bacterium. Its description in RNAcentral is "bacterial SSU rRNA". It matches the Rfam family "Bacterial small subunit ribosomal RNA", at positions 30 to 454 of the family's 1533-position model. The record is from RNAcentral.